Molecule: ribosomal RNA, 409 nt
Filed under: Fusobacteriota bacterium
Lineage: Bacteria; Fusobacteriati; Fusobacteriota
Description: Fusobacteria bacterium partial 16S ribosomal RNA
Rfam family: Bacterial small subunit ribosomal RNA
Source: RNAcentral
UGGGGAAUAUUGCACAAUGGAGGGAACUCUGAUGCAGCAGCGCCGCGUGCGGGAUGACGGCCUUCGGGUUGUAAACCGCUUUCAGCCAUGACGAAGCUUUUGUGACGGUAGUGGUAGAAGAAGCACCGGCUAACUACGUGCCAGCAGCCGCGGUGAUACGUAGGGUGCGAGCGUUGUCCGGAAUUAUUGGGCGUAAAGAGCUUGUAGGCGGUUUGUCGCGUCGAUAGUGUAAACACGCAGCUUAACUGUGUGCCUGCUGUCGAUACGGGCUGACUAGAGGAGGGUAGGGGAGAAUGGAAUUCCCGGUGGAGCGGUGGAAUGCGCAGAUAUCGGGAGGAACACCAGUGGCGAAGGCGGUUCUCUGGACCUUUCCUGACGCUGAGAAGCGAAAGCGUGGGUAGCAAACAGG